Molecule: long non-coding RNA, 2706 nt
Filed under: Sus scrofa (pig)
Lineage: Eukaryota; Metazoa; Chordata; Mammalia; Artiodactyla; Suidae
Description: lncRNA (ENSSSCG00060033539.1)
Source: RNAcentral
GGUUUUGGAUUCAGGAAGACAGGUAGAAUUCAGUCGGCCGUAUGAGUUGCUACAAGAUGAAGAGAGCCUAUUUUACAACAUGGUGCAACACCUGAGGGAGGCCGAGGCCACUGCCCCCACUGAGACAGCAACACAGGCAUACUUCAGAGACAGAUUUUUCACAGGGAUCCAUUAUGAAUAUUUCCAGCAGAGAGUUCUCCUCUAUAACAAUUUUGAGCCACCACUGUGAUUCUGCCAUAAGGUCAAGUUUAUUCCAAAGAUGUUUUUCCAGUAGUUUCUGUACAGCAAAAACUAUGCUGUACUUCUUUUUUACACCACCAACAAAUAUUUACAUGUUUUUUAUUUUUUUCUCCAUCUUCACCCGUUGAUUUCCUGCUCCUAUGAAAUGAUUUAUUUUUUUAUUUAUAUAUUAUAAAAUUUUUCUCUUAUCCAAAUCAGUGGCGUGGACCACUAAUAAAAGCUUUCUCCUAGGUUUUGUGCCACAAGAGACUCCAGAGAUGCAGCUCAUUUUCUAAGGUAUAGGACAGAGUUGUCACUUAUUUUUUGCUGCUCUAUAGAUUACGUGCCACUUUCCAGUUAUAUCAGGGACUCUGUUUACUGGAAGACUGUGUGAAACUGCCAUGUUGUCUGACCACCUCCUUUAACAUAACUGGGAUCCGUUACUCUCCCCAAGACUUCUUUCUGGUUGAAAUAGUACAGAGAAAUACUAAUAGGAAAAAUAUGUAUACUUUAAGUGAUAUUAUAGGAGAGAAAGCUGUUCACCCCUCCAAAAUGAAAGAUAUAUGGUUAAAAUAGAGAAGGACAACAUUUAAUUCUGUUCUAAAAGAAAAGGAAGAGAAAAUAUGACUCUCACAACGUAGCCCUUCUAGGGGAUUUGAUAAUGAAGGAGAUACAUGUAUAUGAUCAUUGAUUGUCUUCUAGAUGGAGGGAUUGUUUUGCAUUUUUUAUUGUAAAUAUAUAUAUACCAUAAAAUUUAGAAUCAUAACCAUUUUAAACAUACAAUUCAGUGCCAUUAAUCACAGUCCCAGUGUUGGGCAACCAUCACCCCCUAGUUCAUUUUUGGUAGGUCUUUUAGAAUAUUCAGUUAUUGCUACAAAGUCAUUUUUAAGUUUCAUUCUCUAGGAACUGAUCUGUUUCCUACAAGUUUUAAGUGUGACUGGCAUAAAGUCAUUUACAAUAUCUUAUAUGUUUAAUUUCUUCAACAUUUGUAAUUGUGGUUUUUUUUCCUUUUUAAUUUUCUUUGACCUUUUUUUCUUGAAUAAUCUUACAUGACUUUUUCCUAUUAAUUUUCAAAGAAUCAUUUUAUUGCUUAAUUUAUCCUUCUGUUUUUUUUCUAGUUCAUAUUAUUUCUUUCCUUCAUCUGUUCUUCAUUUGAGGGUUUUUUUUUCCCUCUACUUUUUAAAAACAGAAAUUUAGAUUAAUUUUUAACUUAAUUAUAAAGCCUACUUUUUUCCCUAAGUACCACUUUAGCAGCAACCUGCAAGUUUUGGUUCUUAGCACUGAUAAGUAACCAUAAUAAUAGCCAUUUUCUAACUUACCUGUAUCUUUUACCCAUGAGCUAUUCAUAAGUGUAAUGUUCUCUAAACUUCAGAUGUUAAUGGCAUUUUCUUGUUAGAUUAAACCUUGUGAAUAUGCUAAUAUUAAACCUUUUUUUAACCUAUAAAAAUGGCAGUUCAUAUGGUUCAACAUAAUUGUUUUGUUACUAAUAUGUAAGUUUCACUUUGGUCAGAGAACAUUAGAUUGCAUUUUAAACCAAAGGUAACUGCAUUCACACACAAAGUCCUGUUUUUAUCUUUUUGUAUUCUUUUUGGGCUUUUUAAAAUGUUGUAAGUAUGUGCACAACCAGUGAUUUUCAAAUGAAAAUCUGAGCACUGAAAUCUUUUUUUUUUUUGAUACAUGUUGCUGGUUGGUUCUCUGGGGUACAAAUUCAGGUGGAGAUUAACAUUGGGAUGAGUAUUAGGGGUACCUUUGGGGUCAACACUUGUGGAAUCAAGAGGAAAGAAACAUGAUAGGGUAGAUGGAGAGUUCAAGCUGAACCACUGCCCAGACGACCUUAGCUGACCCCAUGGGGUCUCUGGAUGAAGGUGGCCCCUUGGGGUUUCCUGACACAUCCAGUGGCCAGGCCUUUAUGCCUCCACCUGAUGGUCAUUGCAUGUAUGUGGCCUGCAGAAGGGCUGGUGGUUUAAGGCUGCCCAUUGGCAGCACUUCCAACAGCUGGACAACAAGCCCUUGAAGGAAGGUCUGAAUGGCACGUGUCCAUGUCUCCCACCUAUGUGUCACAGCUGCAGAGGUAGAUGGUUAAGGUGUAUGUACUGUGGAGGGAUGCUCUUGGUGACUGAUGUAAGUCAAAAUGAUUAAAUGCUUCUCCUAAAUACCCUGUGGUCUGAAAAUAAAGGAGCAGGUCCACGUAGGGGAGAAACCCUCAUUCUCUGGGGUCAGCCCAGUGUUCAGCUCUUCAGGAAGCCAUCAGUCAUCAUCCUAGGUAACUCGUGUUGCUGUAAUGCCCUCAACACCUCUCAUUUGUUAAAAUGAACCAUACUUGGUUAAUGUCCUAUUUUAGCCAUCUUUAGAUACUUAUUUUUAAAACAAGGGACCCUGCUUUUUCCAUUUUGCACUGAGUCCUGUAAAUUAUGUAGCCUGCCCUAACUAUGAGUAUUCAUUCUUGGGUGGUCUGUUUUGUCAAUAAACCAUGAGCUUCUAAAGACU